CCUACGGGAGGCAGCAGUGAGGAAUAUUGGUCAAUGGGAGGAAUCCUGAACCAGCCAUGCCGCGUGCGGGACGACUGCUCUAUGAGUUGUAAACUGCUUUUGUACCGGGGUAAAAUGCUCUACGAGUAGGGUUUUGAAAGUACGGUACGAAUAAGGAUCGGCUAACUCCGUGCCAGCAGCCGCGGUAAUACGGAGGAUCCGAGCGUUAUCCGGAUUUAUUGGGUUUAAAGGGUGCGUAGGUUGUUUUAUAAGUUAGUGGUGAAAUCCCGAGGCUCAACAUCGGGGCUGCCGCUGAUACUGUAGGACUAGAGAUCGGAUGCAGCAGGCGGAAUGUGUAGUGUAGCGGUGAAAUGCUUAGAUAUUACACAGAACACCGAUUGCGAAGGCAGCUUGCUAGGCCGGAUCUGACACUGAUGCACGAAAGCGUGGGGAUCGAACAGGAUUAGAUACCCCUGUAGUC
RNAcentral lists this ribosomal RNA (460 nucleotides) under uncultured bacterium. RNAcentral's name for it is "partial 16S ribosomal RNA". It matches the Rfam family "Bacterial small subunit ribosomal RNA", at positions 338 to 795 of the family's 1533-position model. The record is from RNAcentral.